Molecule: long non-coding RNA, 221 nt
Filed under: Pollicipes pollicipes
Lineage: Eukaryota; Metazoa; Arthropoda; Thecostraca; Pollicipedomorpha; Pollicipedidae
Description: uncharacterized LOC119114781
Source: RNAcentral
CGGCGACCCGAGCCGCGGCGCGGCGCCCUGGCCGUCCUCAUGGACCCCCGCACCAAGAAGAAGAGCCCCAACUGCAUGCGUCGAUGCAUGAUGCAGGGCCUUCUCCACCCGGCGCAGUGUCACUCGCUAUGCUGAAGCCCCUAGACGACGUCCAACAACACACUGACAAGGCUGUGUCCAUCAUCGGCCAUGGCCUGACCCGACCUGAGGGGCGCCGGAGG